This 552-nucleotide ribosomal RNA is filed under the name uncultured bacterium. RNAcentral describes it as "partial 16S ribosomal RNA". It matches the Rfam family "Bacterial small subunit ribosomal RNA", at positions 355 to 898 of the family's 1533-position model. The record is from RNAcentral.
UAGGGAAUCUUCCACAAUGGACGCAAGUCUGAUGGAGCAACGCCGCGUGAGUGAAGAAGGUUUUCGGACCGUAAAGCUCUGUUGUUGGUGAAGAAGGAUAGAGGUAGUAACUGGCCUUUAUUUGACGGUAAUCAACCAGAAAGUCACGGCUAACUACGUGCCAGCAGCCGCGGUAAUCGUAGGUGGCAAGCGUUGUCCGGAUUUAUUGGGCGUAAAGCGAGCGCAGGCGGAAGAAUAAGUCUGAUGUGAAAGCCCUCGGCUUAACCGAGGAAUUGCAUCGGAAACUGUUUUUCUUGAGUGCAGAAGAGGAGAGUAGAACUCCAUGUGUAGCGGUGGAAUGCGUAGAUAUAUGGAAGAAUACCAGUGGCGAAGGCGGCUCUCUGGUCUGCAACUGACGCUGAGGCUCGAAAGCAUGGGUAGCGAACAGGAUUAGAUACCCUGGUAGUCCAUGCCGUAAACGAUGAGUGCUAAGUGUUGGGAGGCUUCCGCCUCUCAGUGCUGCAGCUAACGCAUUAAGCACUCCCCCUGGGGGAGUACGACCGCAAGGUUGAA